UGGGGGAUUUUGCACAAUGGGCGCAAGCCUGAUGCAGCGACGCCGCGUGAGGGAUGAAGGCCUUCGGGUUGUAAACCUCUUUCGCCGGGUUGAAAGGCCAUGCUUUGGGUGUGGUUGAUUUGAACUGGUAAAGAAGUACCGGCUAACUACGUGCCAGCAGCCGCGGUAAUACGUAGGGUACUAGCGUUGUCCGGAUUUAUUGGGCGUAAAGGGCUUGUAGGUGGUUUGUCGCGUCUGUCGUGAAAUCCUGUGGCUUAACCAUGGGCUUGCGGUGGGUACGGGCAGGCUUGAGUGCGGUAGGGGAGACUGGAAUUCCUGGUGUAGCGGUGGAAUGCGCAGAUAUCAGGAGGAACACCGGUGGCGAAGGCGGGUCUCUGGGCCGUUACUGACACUGAGGAGCGAAAGCGUGGGGAGCGAACAGG
Molecule: ribosomal RNA, 422 nt
Filed under: Fusobacteriota bacterium
Lineage: Bacteria; Fusobacteriati; Fusobacteriota
Description: Fusobacteria bacterium partial 16S ribosomal RNA
Rfam family: Bacterial small subunit ribosomal RNA
Source: RNAcentral